Molecule: long non-coding RNA, 2120 nt
Filed under: Homo sapiens (human)
Lineage: Eukaryota; Metazoa; Chordata; Mammalia; Primates; Hominidae
Description: HSALNT0056323
Source: RNAcentral
AUGGCAGGCUGCAGGUGCCGAGCCCUGCCCCGCGGGAAGGCAGCUAAGGCCCUGCGAGAGAUUGAGCACAGCAGCUGCUGGCCCAGGUGCUAAGCCCCUCACUGCCCUGGGCCGGUGGGGCCCGCCGGCGGCUCCGAGUGCGGGGUCCGCCGAGCCCACGCCCACCCGGAACUCGCGCUGGCCCGUAAGCACCGCGCGCAGCCCCGGUUCUCGCUGGCGCCUCUCCCUCCACAACUCCCCGCAAGCUGAGGGAGCCGGCUUCGGCCUUGGCCAGCCCAGAAAAGGGAUCCCACAGUGCAGCGGCGGGCUGAAGGGCUCCUCAAGUGCCGCCAAAGUGGGAGCCCAGGCAGAGGAGGCGCCGAGAGCGAGCGAAGGCUGUGAGGACUGCCAGCAGGCUGUCACCUCUCACCAGGUUGGCAGAAAAAGAAAACAUUAGCAGCCAAAUUAGCCAGUCUGCCUGUGGAAUGAAGGCUCCAGUUUUUGACCUCUAAUGAAAGAAGAAAGAAUACUCAUUGAGGUUUCAGCUGCUUGGGGCCAUUUAGGCAUGGAUUUUCUUCUGCCUCUGCCACCUGGAGACAGGAAGACCAACCCCUCCUGCCCUCCUCCUCCCUAGCCUAGCCAAUGUGAAGAUGACAAGAAUGAAGACGUUUAUGAUGAUCCACUUCCACUUGAUGAACAACCCCAACCCAGAAGCACAGCAGCUGUUGCCAGUGACCUUCUUCCUUGCCAUCUGGCUCUAUUUCAGAUACUUGAUAAUGAUUAAGAUUAUUCAGACUUCUACAAACAACUAGAAGAAAGGCAAGAUUUCCACUUAACCUGGUCGAGCUCUCCAAAUCAGCACUUGCAAUACAAAGCAACCAUUUUGAUGUCUAUAUUUAUUUAUGAGCAUGUAGUUCUGGAUUUUUUGUUUUCUUUCUCUUUGUAGCAACAGCUAUGGGUGAAGAAAUGUCUGUUUAGCAUGCAAAUUCCUGGAGAGACUGUCAUUUGAACUAACUUUUCAUAGUUCCUAACAGUGUCAAAAUUUUAAGGUGGCAGAAUGCUUUUUAAUAAUAGAGAGAUAAAAAAUAUAGAAACUAACCCAUUUCUUCUCUGGGACGCAUGAGAUAAAGUGGAGUAACUAAGCAGAUAACAGUAAACUUGUGCUUCAUGCUAUAACCCUUAGAGUGAAUCCCUUUAUCUCCCAGAGUGUUUCAUGGGAACGAAACAAAGUGAAACAGCUUUCAGAGAGAUCUCUGGAACCCAUCCUUAGUGAUCCUCCUCCUCAGCCUUGUAUCUAACAGGAGCUUCUACAGACUCUGCCAAAUAUAAAUCCAGACACAUUUUAGGACUGAUGCUUCAGUUGCGGAUCUGAUGAACUCUAUGAAUCACCUCCCCAAGAAUAUAUGCAUAUGCACAUAAAAGAAAACUUUGCAAAUGUUUCUAUCAUACCAGAGACCUAGUCAUAGAUGCCCCUGCCUCUGAGUUAGCCAUAACACUGUUGGUAAUUAUAGACAUAAUUUACUUUAACCUUUUUUGGAAAUAGCUUUCGUGUUGUCCUCUGCAGGAUCACAUUUUCUUUAUUCUCACUCCUUGAACUUUGGGAGGGACUGAUCCAAUCUCUUGCUCUGUCUGGGUGGCCACAUGACUCAGGCUUGGACAUGUUGGCCACAUGUUGAGGUUAGGUAUAGUCAUGUGACUGAAGCCAUGUAAAUGAGCCCCUGGAGAAUUUGGGGGAGCUUCAGGGAAAAGGUUUUAAAAAAUGUUUUGAUCCGUUAGUAGUGUGUAUAAAAUAUGUUUGGUCAUGCUGGCAACUGCUAUGCAGAGUCUAGGAUUAAGACAAGAGAGAAAAUUAAGGACAAAUCCAGGAAGAGGAAAGAGAGAAACUGAGAGAAAGUCAUCAUUUGAGUCCCUAAAUCCACAGUGUUGGCCACAUGUUGAGGUUAGAUAUAGUCAUGUGACUGAAGCCAUGUAAAUGAGCCCCUGGAGAAUUUGGGGGAGCUUCAGGGAAAAGGUUUUAAAAAAUGUUUUGAUCCAUUAGUAGUGUGUAUAAAAUAUGUUUGGUCAUGCUGGCAACUGCUAUGCAGAGUCUAGGGUUAAGACUGGAGAGAAAACCAAGGACAAAUCCAGGAAGAGGAAAGAGA